AACAUUAGAGUUUGAUCAUGGCUCAGAUUGAACGCUGGCGGCAGGCCUAACACAUGCAAGUCGGCGGUAGCACAGAGGAGCUUGCUCCUCGGGUGACGAGUGGCGGACGGGUGAGUAAUGUCUGGGGAUCUGCCCGAUAGAGGGGGAUAACCACUGGAAACGGUGGCUAAUACCGCAUAACGUCGCAAGACCAAAGAGGGGGACCUUCGGGCCUCUCACUAUCAGAUGAACCCAAUGGGAUUAGCUAGUAGGCGGGGUAACGGCCCACCUAGGCGACGAUCCCUAGCUGGUCUGAGAGGAUGACCAGCCACACUGGAACUGAGACACGGUCCAGACUCCUACGGGAGGCAGCAGUGGGGAAUAUUGCACAAUGGGCGCAAGCCUGAUGCAGCCAUGCCGCGUGUAUGAAGAAGGCCUUCGGGUUGUAAAGUACUUUCAGCGGGGAGGAAGGCAGUGAGGUUAAUAACCUUACUGAUUGACGUUACCCGCAGAAGAAGCACCGGCUAACUCCGUGCCAGCAGCCGCGGUAAUACGGAGGGUCAAGCGUUAAUCGGAAUUACUGGGCGUAAAGCGCACGCAGGCGGUCUGUUAAGUCAGAUGGAAAUCCCCGGGCUUAACCUGGGAACUGCAUUUGAAACUGGCAGGCUUGAGUCUCGUAGAGGGGGGUAGAAUUCCAGGUGUAGCGGUGAAAUGCGUAGAGAUCUGGAGGAAUACCGGUGGCGAAGGCGGCCCCCUGGACGAAGACUGACGCUCAGGUGCGAAAGCGUGGGGGAGCAGGAUUAGAUACCCUGGUAGUCCACGCCGUAAACGAUGUCG
RNAcentral lists this ribosomal RNA (816 nucleotides) under uncultured Pantoea sp. RNAcentral describes it as "bacterial SSU rRNA". It matches the Rfam family "Bacterial small subunit ribosomal RNA", at positions 1 to 814 of the family's 1533-position model. The record is from RNAcentral. Lineage: Bacteria; Pseudomonadati; Pseudomonadota; Gammaproteobacteria; Enterobacterales; Erwiniaceae.